GCCACGGUGGUCUAGCGCUCAGAACGCUGGCCUUGUAAGCCUGGGGUCCCGGAUUCAAUUCCCGGUGGUGCUC
This is a non-coding RNA of Zootermopsis nevadensis, 73 nucleotides long. The record is from Rfam. NCBI's taxonomy places the organism in Eukaryota, Metazoa, Arthropoda, Insecta, Blattodea, Termopsidae.